ACGAACGCUGGCGGCGUGCUUAACACAUGCAAGUCGAACGGAAAGGCCCUUUUGGGGGUGCUCGAGUGGCGAACGGGUGAGUAACACGUGGGUGAUCUGCCCUGCACUUUGGGAUAAGCCUGGGAAACUGGGUCUAAUACCGGAUAGGACUACGGCCUGCAUGGGUUGUGGUGGAAAGCUUUUGCGGUGUGGGAUGGGCCCGCGGCCUAUCAGCUUGUUGGUGGGGUGAUGGCCUACCAAGGCGACGACGGGUAGCCGGCCUGGGAGGGUGUCCGGCCACACUGGGACUGAGAUACGGCCCAGACUCCUACGGGAGGCAGCAGUGGGGAAUAUUGCACAAUGGGCGCAAGCCUGAUGCAGCGACGCCGCGUGGGGGAUGACGGCCUUCGGGUUGUAAACCUCUUUCAAUGGGGACGAAGCGCAAGUGACGGUACCUAUAGAAGAAGCACCGGCCAACUACGU
This 462-nucleotide ribosomal RNA is filed under the name uncultured bacterium. RNAcentral describes it as "bacterial SSU rRNA". It matches the Rfam family "Bacterial small subunit ribosomal RNA", at positions 29 to 506 of the family's 1533-position model. The record is from RNAcentral.